UGCAGUCUUAACUUUGUAACUUGACUUUAUCCUCGCUCCUCUGUUCUUCCUCAUUUUUGAAACUGAAAGUAAAAGGACAAGUUGCCACUCCCGAGGGUUGGGACACCAGUCGCUCCAACAGCACUUUGCCUCCUUACACUCCUUACACAGGAGCCAUCCAACUGCUGCUGGCCUGAUCUUUUUCCUCUAAAGCAGAUGGCUGCUGUGUGCUGGAUGGUUGUGGCGCUGGCCUUCUUCCUGUCUGCAGGGACUGGUGUGGAUGUCGUGGACCAGUACCAGCUUCAGACGAUUUUAGCAGACUUGUUGGGAAGGAACAGAAUAGGUGGCCAGUUCAGUCUGACUGUAAACAUCGCACUGAACCAUACUCAGCACCUUCAAACUGCCCUGAAGCAAGUCUUGGAUGCUGACCCUUGGUCCGACGUCCACCUUGAGAUGCUUGAGUGUACACCGGUACCUGGGUGGUAGCCGCCGGAGCAGACAAAAUAAACAACCGUCAUGCAGAGCUGCGCGUUCUGGACAGUUUCCAAAGCUUGCAUAAUAAAUGUGAACGUAAACUUCUGCUCUUCUACUCUUACCUCUCCCCAUGUGAUCAGAAAUGUACAAACGAACGGCAUCGUGAUACAAUCAUUUCAAGGAUUAACGUCACUCAGAAUUGGCAUGAUUAUGCCUUUGUGUUUUCCAAAAUAUUCAAGCCCAAAGGUUCUAAUCCCAUUAGUGAGGAAAACCUGAAGGGAUCCCUUGAACGACUCGGGAAAUCCAAAAACAUUGGGGGGUCAGAAAUUGGCCUUGCCAGUAUAUUCCGUUGUGAUAAAAACGAUAAUGUGAUGACGUGUAACAGCUGCUCCACCAGUAGACAAGUGACUCACCAGUGUAUUGCAGACACUUCACGACCUGGUCCCAGUGGUGGUUUUAGUGGUGGUUCUGGUCGGGGCAGUGGGCAAGGGGGGGCUCAGAGUCAGAACCAGAGGCAGAGGCAGGGGCCGGGGCUCAGUACCAGCCUAGGGCAGAGGCAGGGGCGAGGUCGGUAUCAGGGCUAGGGUCAGUGCCAUGGGCUCUGUAGGAAGGGGAAUGAAUAUUUUGUAGGUAGGUUUUAUGCUUCCUUUCAUGUGUUGAUGCCCCUUAGAACUGCAAAAUUACACAGCCACAAGAGUACAGUCACUUACUGUUUGUUAUCAUUGGGCCAAAUUAUAGUAGUGAACUGCACUGUGUCACCUUGCUUUAUGUAUUUUGCCCAUGGAGGUUUACAGUGACCAUGUUUUAGAGUUAUUGCUGGUAGUAAAACAAUGAGGAAUACCAUUUAAUCCUUGCAGCAUUAGUACCUUGCACUUGAAUAUGUUUGACUGAAAAAACUUUACCAAAUUCUUUAAUAUUCUGUUAUAUUUAAUUAAAUCUUGGCUCAGCAUCCAAACUGGUCUGUCUGUCUGUUUAUCAUCUGGAAACCCCUGGAUAACAGUCUGUUCUACUACUUAUUAUCUUUGAUUAUGAAUGGUAAAAACAAUAGAAAAUACUGCCUAACCCUAUAAGAAGCUCUGUGCAGGAAACACUGCAGAAAGCUUAUAUGCCUCCAUGCCUCCUUGAUGUUGCAAUCUUUCAAGCUGUCUCUCCUUCUAGUAGUAAUCUUUGAGGAAGGAAACUGAGGAGGAGCCUUUUCAGGAAGGAUUUUUUUUUUUUUUUUUGAAUGCCACAGCCAGCUCUUAUCAGUAGACACAAUAUCAGUACACAAGUCAAUUGAUCACCAGCUGUCAUGUAUUAAACCAUUCGAUUAGGGCAAGAUUCUUUGCUUGCAAUAAUAAAAUUGCAUAUUGGAUUUUUUCUGUACAUUAAAAAUGUUGACUUUUAU
Myripristis murdjan (pinecone soldierfish) is the source of this 1840-nucleotide long non-coding RNA. RefSeq lists it as uncharacterized. The record is from RefSeq and is a predicted model, not a curated record. Lineage: Eukaryota; Metazoa; Chordata; Actinopteri; Holocentriformes; Holocentridae. The transcript has 3 exons.